AGUGCAGGUCAGGGUCACCCUCCACUUCUGGCUACGGAUCAGAAGGUUAGGGGUUCGAGUCCCUUCGGGC
RNAcentral lists this transfer RNA (70 nucleotides) under Micromonospora ureilytica. Its description in RNAcentral is "tRNA-Arg". Lineage: Bacteria; Bacillati; Actinomycetota; Actinomycetes; Micromonosporales; Micromonosporaceae. The record is from RNAcentral.